AAGGAGAGAGCAGGGACCUCGAGAGGCGGUUGGGAAAAAUAGUUUUGAACGGUCAUCCAACUCGGAAUUCCAAGUCAGAACCUCAAGCAUCAUUCUAGAGCUCCGUCUUUUCGACCUGAAGAUCACUGACGUCGUGAUUUGACCUUGUUGAUCAUCAGAUGCAGUUGCUGACCAGAAGCAAUGGAGGACACCUGUAGAUGCCGAAUGAGUCCAAUCAAUCUAAAGACAUCAUUAAGGUUGCUGGGUCAUUCCGUGGAUGACGUGAGGAGGACAGAGAACCCCCCCCUUCCACCCCAGCCCCGCCCCCUGUGUCUCUAUCUGCCGCUGUGUCCUAUGGCUUUUUAUUCCUAUAUGAUGUCAGAUUGGGCUUAUGUAGGGAUAGAAGCCACUUAACACACGGUGAAAGAGCUUCAUGAAGGCAGCACGGGGAGAGAAAAAAAACUGGAAUUGUACCAGUCCUAGUUGGCUUGCUUUACAAUGUCCCAUAUGCCUGGUACAUAUGGUUUGAUGAAUGUUUCCUGCUUCUGGUUUCAUGUUCCCUGUAGUAAGGCUACAUUUGUGCUCUUCCUUCAGAUAAUGAGCUAGCAGCUCAUUGAAGUGUUCAGAGAAGAGUGAGUCAGAUGCUGUUAUGGUUGUCGGUGCACCUCUUUUUGCUUCCAGGCACAAACGGCCUUCACCGUUUUUCAAUUUAUGAUGCUGUGGUGACAGCGGGCGUCUGCAGGGACGGAUGUUGGAACAUUUGCAAAAGAUGCCAUAAACAAAAGGAAGAAACAAGCGCGGAGAAACCAAUGCAUAUUUUUAAUAACCAACUUUAAGAGGCACUAAGUGAACCACUUUACAAUACAAGAGGCAUUGCAUUUCCAUGUAUUUUCUCUCUCGCUCUCGCUCUCUCUCUCUGAUUCUGUUGCACAUUAUUAAAAUAAAACUUUGACAUUGAGCAUUGCACCAGAAAAUCAUCUACCUACAAUAUAAUACAAUGUAAGAUACAUAUAAACAAGAUAAAGCACCUUUUUUGUCUUAGUAAAUAAUAUUCAUAAUUAAACAGUUGGAGGACAGACA
Molecule: long non-coding RNA, 1059 nt
Organism: Salmo salar (Atlantic salmon)
Lineage: Eukaryota; Metazoa; Chordata; Actinopteri; Salmoniformes; Salmonidae
Source: RefSeq, a predicted model, not a curated record